GCAGUCGACGAUGAACCGGUUUCGGCCGGGGAUUAGUGGCGAACGGGUGAGUAACACGUGGGCAAUCUGCCCUUCACUCUGGGACAAGCCCUGGAAACGGGGUCUAAUACCGGAUAUGACACGGGAUCGCAUGAUCUUCGUGUGGAAAGCUCCGGCGGUGAAGGAUGAGCCCGCGGCCUAUCAGCUUGUUGGUGGGGUGAUGGCCUACCAAGGCGACGACGGGUAGCCGGCCUGAGAGGGCGACCGGCCACACUGGGACUGAGACACGGCCCAGACUCCUACGGGAGGCAGCAGUGGGGAAUAUUGCACAAUGGGCGAAAGCCUGAUGCAGCGACGCCGCGUGAGGGAUGACGGCCUUCGGGUUGUAAACCUCUUUCAGCAGGGAAGAAGCGAGAGUGACGGUACCUGCAGAAGAAGCGCCGGCUAACUACGUGCCAGCAGCCGCGGUAAUACGUAGGGCGCAAGCGUUGUCCGGAAUUAUUGGGCGUAAAGAGCUCGUAGGCGGCUUGUCGCGUCGGAUGUGAAAGCCCGGGGCUUAACCCCGGGUCUGCAUUCGAUACGGGCAGGCUAGAGUUCGGUAGGGGAGAUCGGAAUUCCUGGUGUAGCGGUGAAAUGCGCAGAUAUCAGGAGGAACACCGGUGGCGAAGGCGGAUCUCUGGGCCGAUACUGACGCUGAGGAGCGAAAGCGU
Molecule: ribosomal RNA, 689 nt
Filed under: Streptomyces sp. YIM 65649
Lineage: Bacteria; Bacillati; Actinomycetota; Actinomycetes; Kitasatosporales; Streptomycetaceae
Description: bacterial SSU rRNA
Rfam family: Bacterial small subunit ribosomal RNA
Source: RNAcentral